This 484-nucleotide ribosomal RNA is filed under the name uncultured bacterium. Its description in RNAcentral is "partial 16S ribosomal RNA". It matches the Rfam family "Bacterial small subunit ribosomal RNA", at positions 30 to 507 of the family's 1533-position model. The record is from RNAcentral.
AUUGAACGCUGGCGGCAGGCCUAACACAUGCAAGUCGAGCGGAUGAAGGGAGCUUGCUCCUGGAUUCAGCGGCGGACGGGUGAGUAAUGCCUAGGAAUCUGCCUGGUAGUGGGGGAUAACGUCCGGAAACGGGCGCUAAUACCGCAUACGUCCUGAGGGAGAAAGUGGGGGAUCUUCGGACCUCACGCUAUCAGAUGAGCCUAGGUCGGAUUAGCUAGUUGGUGGGGUAAAGGCCUACCAAGGCGACGAUCCGUAACUGGUCUGAGAGGAUGAUCAGUCACACUGGAACUGAGAAACGGUCCAGACUCAUACGGGAGGCAGCAGUGGGGAAUAUUGGACAAUGGGCGAAAGCCUGAUCCAGCCAUGCCGCGUGUGUGAAGAAGGUCUUCGGAUUGUAAAGCACUUUAAGUUGGGAGGAAGGGCAGUAAGUUAAUACCUUGCUGUUUUGACGUUACCAACAGAAUAAGCACCGGCUAACUUCGUG